UACGGAGGGUGCGAGCGUUGUCCGGAAUCACUGGGCGUAAAGGGCGCGUAGGCGGCUUCUCAAGCGUGUGGUGGAAGUCCGGGGCUCAACCCCGGAUCGGCCGUGCGGACUGGGGAGCUCGAGUUCUGUAGAGGCGGGUGGAAUUCCGGGUGUAGCGGUGGAAUGCGUAGAGAUCCGGAAGAACACCGGUGGCGAAGGCGGCCCGCUGGGCAGAGACUGACGCUGAGGAGCGAAAGCGUGGGGAGCGAACAGG
RNAcentral lists this ribosomal RNA (253 nucleotides) under uncultured bacterium. RNAcentral describes it as "partial 16S ribosomal RNA". It matches the Rfam family "Bacterial small subunit ribosomal RNA", at positions 524 to 776 of the family's 1533-position model. The record is from RNAcentral.